AGGAGUCACAGCUCCUGUCCUUGUAAGUAGACAGGCAGGAACAGCCUAUCAAAGUGACUUCAGAAGAUCCUCUAGUCUGUCGCUGCCAAUGCGCUGUCGUCUGGGAGCAGAGAACAGAGGAGUAUCCAGCUCUAUUCAAAACCCAAGAACUUUCUAGCUACUUAUUCAAGACAUUUGUGGUCUGUCUUCAGGAUCAGAAGAAUAGAUCAAAACCAGAAAAUUUUUGUGUGGAAUUGGUCUUUGGCAGCCCAGUGCUUCUGCUUACAUAUGUGGUAGACAAAGCUUCAGGAAUGAAAUGUGCAAC
Molecule: long non-coding RNA, 304 nt
Filed under: Cyanoderma ruficeps (rufous-capped babbler)
Lineage: Eukaryota; Metazoa; Chordata; Aves; Passeriformes; Timaliidae
Description: lncRNA (ENSCRFG00000010146.1)
Source: RNAcentral